This is a non-coding RNA of Vicia faba (fava bean), 231 nucleotides long. NCBI's taxonomy places the organism in Eukaryota, Viridiplantae, Streptophyta, Magnoliopsida, Fabales, Fabaceae. The record is from the annotation of a GenBank genome assembly.
AUGCACAACACUUCAAUCCUCAAUCAUCAUCCAUUUCUAGACCUCUGCAUAUUCAACCUACUUCAUCAUUUUCGGCAUCCUUCACACAACAUCUUCACUGAUUCUACAACCUUCAUCAUAAUUGCACCGAAACCAUUAUUUCAUCAUCAUCUUCGUGUCAAUGAUCAACGCAUCGGUAUCAUCCAUGGUUUUCUUCAAACGUUAGCAUCAUCUUGCUGCAAUAAGCUUUAA